CACAAGAGACCCAAAUUAACUGUAAUACGGCGUAAAGAGUGGUACCAUGCUAUCAUAACAACUAAGAUUAAAAUGCAGCUAAGCUGUCAUAAGCAUAAGAUGCUCUUAAAGCCGCCCUCAAGACGAUCUUAGCACUCCCGAUCAAUUAAAUCCCACGAAAGCCAGGAUACAAACUGGGAUUAGAUACCCCACUAUGCCUAGCCCUAAAUCUUAAUACUUACUCUACUAAAGUAUUCGCCCGAGAACUACGAGCACAAACGCUUAAAACUCUAAGGACUUGGCGGUGCCCCAAACCCACCUAGAGGAGCCUGUUCUAUAAUCGAUAACCCACGAUACACCCAACCGCCCCUUGCCAAGGCAGCCUAUAUACCGCCGUCGCCAGUCCACCUCCCCUGAGAGCCCAACAGUGGACAUAAUAGCCCACCCGCUAGCAAGACAGGUCAAGGUAUAGCCCAUGGAGCGGAAGAAAUGGGCUACAUUUUCUAGAGUAGAAAACUUUUACGGAAAGGGAUGUGAAAUCGUCCCUGGAAGGCGGAUUUAGCAGUAAAGCGGGAUAAUACACGCCCUCUUUAAACCGGCCCUGGGGCACGUACAUACCGCCCGUCACCCUCCUCACAAGCUACAAGCAUCUAAUAACUAAUAUACUUACUAGCCAAAGAUGAGGUAAGUCGUAACAA
This 677-nucleotide ribosomal RNA is filed under the name Diomedea exulans (Wandering albatross). Its description in RNAcentral is "partial 12S ribosomal RNA". It matches the Rfam family "Bacterial small subunit ribosomal RNA", at positions 526 to 1494 of the family's 1533-position model. Lineage: Eukaryota; Metazoa; Chordata; Aves; Procellariiformes; Diomedeidae. The record is from RNAcentral.